Molecule: ribosomal RNA, 258 nt
Filed under: uncultured Oscillospiraceae bacterium
Lineage: Bacteria; Bacillati; Bacillota; Clostridia; Eubacteriales; Oscillospiraceae
Description: partial 16S ribosomal RNA
Rfam family: Bacterial small subunit ribosomal RNA
Source: RNAcentral
UUGGAGCGGUUAGUGGCGGACUGGUGAGUAACACGUGAGCAACCUGCCUAUCAGAGGGGAAUAACAGUGAGAAAUCAUUGCUAAUACCGCAUAUGCCAUAAAUAUCACAUGAUGAAAGUGGGAAAGGAGUAAUCCGCUGAUAGAUGGGCUCGCGUCUGAUUAGAUAGUUGGUGGGGUAACGGCCUACCAAGUCGACGAUCAGUAGCCGGACUGAGAGGUUGAACGGCCACAUUGGGACUGAGAUACGGCCCAGACUCC